GGGCCACAAUGUAUAUAAUAAUAAAGAUAUUAUAGAAGAUAUUUAGUAGGAAGGAAAAAAAAAACAACUCAACCAAAAUGACCUAAUAGUUUAUACAAAAAAUAGAAAAAUAUAAAGUUAUAAACUAUGUCUAACACAGAUUACAAACUAACAAAUGAACACAAAUGCCAUAUCUAUCAACUUAACCACAAAUUUAUUUAUACAUAUAAAAAGCCAAUAGAAAAUUUAAAGAGAUAGAUAUGGGAAGAUAUU
RNAcentral lists this long non-coding RNA (252 nucleotides) under Elaeis guineensis (African oil palm). RNAcentral's name for it is "long non-coding RNA (EGUI_LNC026426)". The record is from RNAcentral. Lineage: Eukaryota; Viridiplantae; Streptophyta; Magnoliopsida; Arecales; Arecaceae.